RNAcentral lists this ribosomal RNA (555 nucleotides) under uncultured archaeon. RNAcentral's name for it is "bacterial SSU rRNA". It matches the Rfam family "Archaeal small subunit ribosomal RNA", at positions 112 to 652 of the family's 1478-position model. The record is from RNAcentral.
CCCUCGGGAUGGGGAUAACCCCGGGAAACUGGGACGAAUACCCACUAGAUGAUUAUACCUGGAAUGGCUUAUCAUCGAAAGACGCUGGAAACAUGCUUCCAGCGUCGCCCGAGGAUGGGACUGCGUCCGAUCAGGUUGUUGGCGGGGUAACGGCCCACCAAGCCUAUAACCGGUACGGGCCCUGAGAGGGGGAGCCCGGAGAUGGAAACUGAGAAAAGGUUCCAGGCCCUACGGGGUGCAGCAGGCGCGAAACCUCCACAAUGCGCGAAAGCGUGAUGGGGUUAUCCCGAGUGCCGUCCGAUGAGGAUGGCUUUUCAUCGGUGUAAGGAUCCGAUGGAAUAAAGGGGGGGCAAGACUGGUGUCAGCCGCCGCGGUAAUACCAGCCCCCUGAGUGGUAAGGACGAUUAUUUGGCCUAAAGCGUCCGUAGCCGGCUUAUCAAGUCUUUUGUUAAAUCCAACGAUUCAAUCGUUGGGCCGCAAAAGAUACUGUUAUGCUAGAGGACGGGAGAGGUCGACGGUAGUCCAGGGGUAGGGGUGAAAUCCUAUAAUCCUUGG